Molecule: ribosomal RNA, 612 nt
Filed under: Triticum aestivum (bread wheat)
Lineage: Eukaryota; Viridiplantae; Streptophyta; Magnoliopsida; Poales; Poaceae
Description: partial small subunit ribosomal RNA
Source: RNAcentral
AUGGGCUCGUUUGCUGGAGAUGGCCCAACCUCCCCUAUUGUCCACGGGACAAAUAGGAGGAUCCAGAGCCUUCCAGACUCGAGGGGACUCGGCAGAGACGACGGAGAGGCAGGACGUGAGGCGAGUCCACCUCUACGCCCCCCCGCCGCCGCCGACGCCGACGACGACGACUCCACGCGCCGGCCCCCCUCCACGCGCCUCCGCCUCCAGGAGCACGUGUGGUCUCCUUCAAUGGAGAUGGCUGGUUGCAGCUUGAGUAAAGUACAAAUGGAGGUGGAUGACAAAAGCCCCAAAGAACAUGAUACUAUCAAAAUCUUCCUCGAGGAAGAAAUGGAGACUGAGGUGGAAGCUUUUUCUGGUUUUAUCAUUGGUUCGUAUCUCCGUGGGAAGAUGACAGUGAGCUUUCCGCCCAAUUCUGACCGUUUUGUACAAUUUGAGCUGGGGAAGCUGUUUGACCUUAAACUCGAAUCGCAUCCUUUCAUUGAUAAAGAUCUCUUGAGGAACAUGUGGUAUGUGAAGCCUAAAUCCCCGGAGCGACCCUUUCGCACUGGACCUGAUGAGAUUCUGACAUGGAAUCAGUCUGUAUUUAUUGCGCCCCCCCUCCCAUGUUAA